GGGGAAGUAUUGCACAAUGGGCGCAAGCCUGAUGCAGCCAUGCCGCGUGUAUGAAGAAGGCCUUCGGGUUGUAAAGUACUUUCAGCGGGGAGGAAGGCGUUGUGGUUAAUAACCACAGCGAUUGACGUUACCCGCAGAAGAAGCACCGGCUAACUCCGUGCCAGCAGCCGCGGUAAUACGGAGGGUGCAAGCGUUAAUCGGAAUUACUGGGCGUAAAGCGCACGCAGGCGGUCUGUCAAGUCGGAUGUGAAAUCCCCGGGCUCAACCUGGGAACUGCAUUCGAAACUGGCAGGCUAGAGUCUUGUAGAGGGGGUAGAAUUCCAGGUGUAGCGGUGAAAUUGCGUAGAGAUCUGGAGGAAUACCGGUGGCGAAGGCGGCCCCCUGACAAAGACUGACGCUCAGGUGCG
RNAcentral lists this ribosomal RNA (407 nucleotides) under uncultured Enterobacteriaceae bacterium. RNAcentral describes it as "bacterial SSU rRNA". It matches the Rfam family "Bacterial small subunit ribosomal RNA", at positions 355 to 755 of the family's 1533-position model. The record is from RNAcentral. Lineage: Bacteria; Pseudomonadati; Pseudomonadota; Gammaproteobacteria; Enterobacterales; Enterobacteriaceae.